UACAGGGGUGCAAACGUUGCUCGGAAUCAUUGGGCGUAAAGCGCACGUAGGCGGUUCGUUAUGUCGGAUGUGAAAGCCCUUGGCUUAACCGAGGAAGUGCAUCCGAAACUGGCGAGCUAGAGUACGAAAGAGGAUCGCGGAAUUCCCGGUGUAGAGGUGAAAUUCGUAGAUAUCGGGAGGAACACCGGUGGCGAAGGCGGCGACCUGGUCCUUUACUGACGCUGAGGCGCGAAAGCGUGGGGAGCAAACAGG
This 252-nucleotide ribosomal RNA is filed under the name uncultured bacterium. Its description in RNAcentral is "partial 16S ribosomal RNA". It matches the Rfam family "Bacterial small subunit ribosomal RNA", at positions 524 to 776 of the family's 1533-position model. The record is from RNAcentral.